CGCGAGAGCAGGAUGCACGCCCGAAACAUCUUUCUGCGCGCAGAACACACAACACGAGCGCAGCCCGGCGACGGGAACCAGCGCAGAAAUGCUACCAACUGCAACAACCAGCAAAACAUCAACAUGCUUAACCUAAGCAAUCAUGCGAACGCGCAGACAAAAAGACGAAUUAAUUGGAAACUGUUUGUCGUGUUCGGCCAAGAACCAACGAAUCCCUCGGCAUUGUGCACUGAUACGGAAGAUUAAACACUUUCUGAUUGUGAUCACUUGUUUUAAGCAAAAAUAAUUAAAAUCGAGUUUUUGAUCAAAAUCACUAAGCGAGUGUCUUUGGUGUGAAACUAUAAAACGUGACGAGGGAUGUGAUUUUAUUCACCGCCAUCAAACCCAAGACCUACGACACAUUUAUUACCGCGUAGCCAUUUUCACCCAGGCACUCUGCUACGUGUCAAGCCACAGCGAUGGGAUAUUUAACGUAAGCUACGCAUAUUAUUCCGCAAAAAGUAACCAUCGGGAGAGGCGUAAUAUCGAAAUGGAACACGUGCCCGGAAAACACUUGAUCCGAACAAUACAUUCUCCCUCAAAGGGUGCAACGAACGGCCGGACAUUGAAAUAAUACGAAGGUUCAAGUGGUAAAUGGUAAUGCAGAUGGUUACGAGGUGAAAUGCAUCCGGAAGGCUACUAAAGCCCCCAAAAAACUACCCCGCUUGGCUCUAUAGGGAUAACACCUUCUACAACUAUCCAGGACGGCUGGCAAUUUACAAAAAGCGUCGAGCGGCUCGGAAUGGCAUACAAUCCAACUUGUCUCGCACUUGUCUAGCCCCAAGCAAGUGCGGAUUGAUAGAUCAGCUUGUAAAGUGGGACUUUUAUUAAUAUUCCCUUUGGGAGCUCUUAUCCCAUACUUUUUCUUUCCCGGGAAUUCUAUAGGAAGUGUAGAAAUCAUUAUAAAAUUUAACUGAUUUGUAAAUAUCCUAAUGGUAUGUUACAGAAUAGUUCUUUGAAAAAUCUAAGAAAAGCAAUCGGUGAAAUUGGGCCGAAGUCGGAGACUCGGAGUCAAAGUCGAACCUCAAAGUUUGACUUGGACGUGCGCAACGAACUUGACGAACGUAGAAACGACUAAAAUGCAACCCCGGCACUUGUCAUGGACACGGACAUCUGGAUGCUCGCCUGGGGCCCAGAUGUUUUCAACUCUUCUCCUCUUCUUCUUUCCUCUCGGGCCCAUUGAACUUCUGUCAUGCUAACACGUCGAUUCCCCACGUUAUGAUAUUCUUUUGAGUUUCAGAUUGAAGUUGUCGGCUUGCUUUCUCUGCGUGCACAGAUCAAUCGCGUUAUUGUUGUCCAUGGACCGCGGAAAUGUGAUCUGUAAGAGUAAAUCUUUAUAUUUUUGCUGA
Molecule: long non-coding RNA, 1388 nt
Organism: Dalotia coriaria
Lineage: Eukaryota; Metazoa; Arthropoda; Insecta; Coleoptera; Staphylinidae
Exons: 2
Source: RefSeq, a predicted model, not a curated record